GACGAACGCUGGCGGCGUGCCUAACACAUGCAAGUCGAACGCUGAAACUUGGAGCUUGCUCCGGGUGGAUGAGUGGCGGACGGCUGAGUAACGCGUGAAGAAUCUGCCCUAAGGUGGGGAACAACAUUCCGAAAGGAAUGCUAAUACCGCAUAAUAUAUUCGAGUGGCAUCACUUGAAUAUCAAAGAUUUAUCGCCUUUGGAUGACUUCGCGUCUGAUUAGCUUGUUGGUGAGGUAAUGGCUCACCAAGGCGACGAUCAGUAGCCGAACUGAGAGGUUGAUCGGCCAGAUUGGGACUGAGACACGGCCCAGACUCCUACGGGAGGCAGCAGUGGGGAAUAUUGCGCAAUGGGGGAAACCCUGACGCAGCAACGCCGCGUGAGCGAUGAAGGUCUUCGGAUUGUAAAGCUCUUUAAGUUGGGAAGA
This 425-nucleotide ribosomal RNA is filed under the name uncultured Eubacteriales bacterium. RNAcentral's name for it is "bacterial SSU rRNA". It matches the Rfam family "Bacterial small subunit ribosomal RNA", at positions 28 to 448 of the family's 1533-position model. The record is from RNAcentral. Lineage: Bacteria; Bacillati; Bacillota; Clostridia; Eubacteriales.